CUCCGAGUCCCCGCAACUUUGCGCCCAGGACUCUAGAGCGACGAAUGGGAAGAAACGACACUUAUGCCAAACUGGAAACUCCACAGCCUGCCUUAAGAUUCUUCUGAACGGUGGGUAAUUGGCCCUCAGAGAGGGGAAUAUUACCAAUUUGUUGACCUGCGAACCUAUGACUAAACGAACUAAGUUGGGAAGCUCGUGAAAGAGAAGGUCGAGAUCUUGUUUAUCUAUCACGAAUCGUUUUUCGCAAUAACUAAUGUCUUUUUGCAUGUGCAAUUGCAAUUGCAAGGAAUACUAAAGUUAAUGUGACAAAUAGUUGAAACUACAACUGUUUUUAUCCUUAUGUAACUUGUCAUUACUGCACUUUUCCAUGAGCCUAAUUCCUCUUAUGCCAAACCGAUCUGGAUUUUUAUGCAUUUGGAAGCUGAAUUAGCAAUGUUUCACGGUUUGAAUAUAAGCUAAAUUGUCUAUUCAGAAGAUAAGUAUCGUACCCUAAAGAGACAAGGUAUAAUCAAGUAGAUAAAUGUUUCUUCCUCCAAUUACUUGAAUAAUGGCUUAUCUAGUACUUGCAAAUGUGUAACACAGGUUUCACGAAGAAAGGAAAAGAUUUUAAAGGCAAUGCCAGUUAUCUUUCUUUAUGUAGAACAUGAGUUUCUACCAUUGUGUUUUUUGUAAUCAUUCUCAAAUAAAGGAAGGAAUGAUGCCAUAUAUAUAUAUAUAUAUAUAUAUAUAUUUAGGGAGAGGUUCUAA
Asparagus officinalis (garden asparagus) is the source of this 747-nucleotide long non-coding RNA. RefSeq lists it as uncharacterized. The record is from RefSeq and is a predicted model, not a curated record. NCBI's taxonomy places the organism in Eukaryota, Viridiplantae, Streptophyta, Magnoliopsida, Asparagales, Asparagaceae. The transcript has 3 exons.